This 370-nucleotide long non-coding RNA is filed under the name Elaeis guineensis (African oil palm). Its description in RNAcentral is "long non-coding RNA (EGUI_LNC057352)". Lineage: Eukaryota; Viridiplantae; Streptophyta; Magnoliopsida; Arecales; Arecaceae. The record is from RNAcentral.
ACAUGAUGAAUGAUAAUUUCAAUACUCAAUAGACACCAGGUAUGUGGCACCUCGAAUGUCUAUUUAGAAUAUUAGACUCAUUAUCACACACAUUAAUAGAAGACUAUGAACAAGUUAUCCCCAUAACUAUAUCAUUUUAAGGACCUAAUAAUUUAGAAGAUUUGAUUUAAUGAUUUGAGAAUAAGAGAAAAAAUUGAUCUGCAAGUAGUAAAUCCUUCCACUAAUUUGACCAAGUCAUGAAGAGGACUUUAUAUAAGCUGAUCUAAAGACACCUAAAUCAGUCAUACUGAUUUAUCUUAAUGGCAUGGGUCAGCUCGAAUCGAUUAGUGAUCUAAUCAAAAUACAAUCUACUAUGUUGGCUAAGUAAGUG